GCCUAACACAUGCAAGUCGAACGGUAAAGUGGGUUAGAGAGUGUUCUGGGGGCGAACGGGGGCGAAUCUGUUACGACACUCCCUUCUACACAGGGAAAGCAUUGGGAAACCGGUGCUAAUCCCGCAUAUUGAAGCUUAAUUGACAUGGGGAACAUCUAUUCAAAGAAAAGUGAAUUAGUUUCAAACGCCCAAC
This 193-nucleotide ribosomal RNA is filed under the name uncultured bacterium. RNAcentral describes it as "partial 16S ribosomal RNA". The record is from RNAcentral.